GAGGUUUGCCCUUCGUGGGCGUUUCCUCCCUAGACUCGGGCCGCUCUCACAAGGGCGGCCCUUUUUUUCUGAUGGC
RNAcentral lists this small RNA (76 nucleotides) under Methylobacterium nodulans ORS 2060. Its description in RNAcentral is "Makes More Granules Regulator RNA (mmgR)". It matches the Rfam family "Makes More Granules Regulator RNA (mmgR)". Rfam says of the family: SuhB later renamed mmgR (makes more granules regulator) was a putative non-coding RNA found multiple times in the Agrobacterium tumefaciens genome and related alpha-proteobacteria. Other non-coding RNAs uncovered in the same analysis include: speF, ybhL, metA, and serC. Lineage: Bacteria; Pseudomonadati; Pseudomonadota; Alphaproteobacteria; Hyphomicrobiales; Methylobacteriaceae. The record is from Rfam by way of RNAcentral.